This 298-nucleotide long non-coding RNA is filed under the name Solanum lycopersicum (tomato). RNAcentral describes it as "partial TCONS_00088943". Lineage: Eukaryota; Viridiplantae; Streptophyta; Magnoliopsida; Solanales; Solanaceae. The record is from RNAcentral.
UAAAUAUUGGACGUGCGGCUCGACUAUACGAGUCAUUUAUCAUUUCACCGAGUCCCGGGCCGGGUAAUGUUCGUGCGGAGUUUCUUGCAUAUGUCACCGAGUCCCUCACUAGAGGGCCGGGUAUGUAUAUUAUAUAUAUGAUUGGUGAUGAGGAUGGUUAUGAUGAUGAUGAUGACGGAGAUGAUGUGAUGACUAUUUCACCGAGUCCCUCACUAGAGGGCCGGGUACGUAUGAUGUAUAUAUAUGAUGAUUAUUUUGCCGAGUCCCUUAUUAGGGAAGCUGGGCACCUUAUAUGUUA